GGCCGGGGCGGCAGCUACACAUGCAAGUCGAGCGGUAACAGGAAGAAGCUUGCUUCUUUGCUGACGAGCGGCGGACGGGUGAGUAAUACUUGGGAACUUGCCUUUAGGAGGGGGAUAACCGCUGGAAACGGUGGCUAAUACCGCAUAAUGUCUACGGACCAAAGCAGGGGCUCUUCGGACCUUGCACCUAAAGAUAGGCCCAAGCGAGAUUAGCUAGUUGGUGGGGUAAAGGCCCACCAAGGCGACGAUCUCUAGCUGUUCUGAGAGGAUGAUCAGCCACACUGGGACUGAGACACGGCCCAGACUCCUACGGGAGGCAGCAGUGGGGAAUAUUGCACAAUGGGGGAAACCCUGAUGCAGCCAUGCCGCGUGUGUGAAGAAGGCCUUCGGGUUGUAAAGCACUUUCAGUGGUGAGGAAGGCCGUAAGAUUAAUACUCUUGCGGAUUGACGUUAACCACAGAAGAAGCACCGGCUAACUCCGUGCCAGCAGCCGCGGUAAU
RNAcentral lists this ribosomal RNA (500 nucleotides) under Pseudidiomarina sediminum. Its description in RNAcentral is "bacterial SSU rRNA". It matches the Rfam family "Bacterial small subunit ribosomal RNA", at positions 38 to 524 of the family's 1533-position model. Lineage: Bacteria; Pseudomonadati; Pseudomonadota; Gammaproteobacteria; Alteromonadales; Idiomarinaceae. The record is from RNAcentral.